UGUAUUUUGUUGACCAAAUUUUAUUGAAUCCCCCCCAGAUAGUUUUAGAGAGUGCGCCUCCUCAAGGCCUUGUCAUCGGCCCAUAACAUCAGGGCAUGAAUCAGAACAAAAAUAAUAAAAGUGAGAAAAUUCCGACAUUUGGUCCUUCGAACCGGAUGACAAGUGCUCUCUAGAGCUUGAAGGGAAAUUUCAAUAAAGUAUGGUCUAUAGGGUAGCCCUGAUAGGACACAGUCAGCUCCCACCGAAUCUGCCACAGUGUUCAGAUAACCAGAUUGAGAUCUAUAGAAGGCCAGGAGGUCUGGUCAGUCAAUUUUUAGAUAGUAGUCUAUCAUUCUGGCAGAGACGGUAUGAGUUGGUCGUGUUAUAUAUAGGAGGAAACGACCUGGCAAUCGAUCACCCCAAAACCGUUUGGGAUGAUUAACGUACUCUUAUUGAACGCUUGAGGAAAAUUUGUGAAAACAUUGCUAUCUGCGACGCAGAGAUCAGAGAGUAUCUCCCUGAUAAUCGUUUUGCUAUCAAUUCCGUUGAAUAUGUCAAUAAAGUAGAGAACUUUAAUGCGAGAAUCUCCAAAUACUGCUACAAAAGAAGUCGGUACGGAGUCCGACACUUGCCUAUGAACUCUCGUGCCUACCAGCGAAGGCAAACAAAGGGACGGAGUCCAUUUUGAUUCAGAAAUCCGUAACGCGUUCCUCAAUCGUUUGAUGAGAUUGAUCAGGAGAGAGACAGACAAAACAACUAGGCUCAGCUUGUUCCGAUGUGCAAUUAGCCACACGUGCCACUAGUCUUUGUACCCCGUCUUCCUAACGUAAGAAAAAUCCUCAUUUCCUAGUUUGUAUAACCCCCCCCCAUAAGAAGUAGAGUAAAUAAUCCAAAAUGGCAGUGGCUAUGAUUGUCCACAUAGAGGCCUCGCCGAGUCUCACAGCAGACUUACUGGCCGAAUCACAGCGUGCGUUAGUAGAAACUUAUUCUGAGCGUGUACCAAAAUUUGGUCACGCAGUUGAGACAAGAAGGUCAGCUUCGAGAGUUGUACAAACGUCAAGUCGUAAAGUUAGAAUCUAGCUUAGAUGCCAGAAUCAGGCAAUCCUUAGCAGAAGCUGUGCGAGCUUCUACCCUUUUCUUGAAUUGAAUCGAUAAACAAAGUCACUCAGACAGGGAAUGUUUCCCUCCCCAAAUUGAAACUGCUGCCUCUCCCCACUUUUGAAGGGGAAGUGCAGGAAUAUGCUUCUUAGAGAAUUGUUCACGAUCCACGUGGAUCGAAGGGGAGAUUUGGACGACGUCCAAAUUUACUUACUUGUUAGGGACUCUGGGCAGGGAUCCGCUUAGGAUUGUUAAAUCCCUAAGUGUAACCGCCGCGAAUUACAAGGUAGCGUUAGAUCUCUUGGAUAAGCAAUAUGGUAAUGUACACCAAACGCUUGUGAUCUUGCAUCGAAAACUUGCCAACAUAUUCGUACCCUCGUUGAACCCCGUAGAGUUGAAGAAGUUCAGGUUUGAGUUAACAGUGAUCAUUGAGCAAAUAAAGAGGCUCAGUACUAAUGAUAUAGGCCAUGGCAUGGUCAUGAGUCUUAUCAAUCAGAAGUUGUCAGAAGGUAAGCUCUAUCGAAAGGUGGUCGAACACCUCAGAAAAUGCGACUAUAGUUUAGAAGAAUUUUUUGAAGCUAUAGACUUCAUAAUUCGCAUGUUGGAAGAUGACGCGUUACAGCGAGGCGAGAAAUUAGAAUCUGAUAAGAAAAACAAUGUCAGUGUUAGACCCAAAACGAAACCCAUGCAGAAUAAUUCUUGUCCCUUUUGCAAUGAACGGCACCCGCCUCAUGGAUGCCGCCGAGUAAGUGAUGUGGCUGCCAGACACCGCAUUUUACUAAGGAAGGGCCUGUGUUUUAAUUGCCUUCAGUCAGGUCACCAUAGUGAUAGAUGCCCUAACCCCAAUUCAUGUAAAAGUUGUGGAAAUAAUCAUAAUACUUCCAUUUGUGAUAAUGGCAGCUUCAGAAAAGCACAUUCAGUUCCCUCCACUUCGUCCCGAAAUCAUCCCAGUUUAGUAAGUAACAGUCAAGCUACAACCUCCCACCCUGUAGUAAAUGCAACGCCCAGGCAGCACGAUAGAAACCCCCGUCCGCCCAAAGAGAAAGUAGAAUCAAAACCGUGUAAGAGCACCAAAGUAGCCCAAAUGUCUAGUGUAGAUCUUCCCUGUACGAUUUUGCCAACGGCCAUGGCCGAGAUCCAUCACAAGCAGGGGAGUAAACGGGUUCGCUUGUUUAUGGACACUGGGAGUCAAUGAAGCUUUAUCUCCGCUAAAACUGCAAAGCAAUUAGGCCUGCCAGUGGUAGGCAAAGUGGCGUUGAACAUUGCUCCCUUUGGUUCUUCAGAAAUCAGUGGCCAGUAUGACGUUGUGAGUUGCCGGGUAGAGAUGGGUAAUAGUAUUGUUCGAAUGAAACUAGUUGUUCACGAGAACGUAGACGUCCCAAUUCAUAACGCAGGUUAUGUAAGAGUAAGACAACACCUAGUAGGGAAGGGAGUCACGUUAGCAGAUCCUGACAGUAAGAGCGAUAAGUUACGAAACGUGCACAUUCUUGUGGGUGCAGACUAUUUUAAUUACUUCAUUAUUGGAGUAGAAAAGAUAGACGGGAUAAGUCUUUUUCUGACCCAUAAUGGCAUGUCGCCAUAUGGGAGAGUGCCACAGUGGCUAUUAGAAGGUCACAAGAUAGAUCAAGUGAGAACGCUCAGGGUAUGUAGGGUCGCGAGCGAACCAAUUGCAUUUGAUGUUGAUGAAUGGUGGCGUUUGGAUAACGUAGGCAUCGCCCCAUCCGAGCAGUACACUGUCCGCGAAGCGGAAGCCAUGCGAAAGGUUUCGCAGAGUGUAACGAAGAAGCCUGAGGGAUAUCAGGUUAGUUUGCUGUUCCGUUCAGAAGGUAGGCCAGAAACAAACUUUAGAAAUGCUGUAGCACAGCUGGAUUCACUGCAAACCAAAUUUCAGAAAGACAAGGAAUACUAUAAUCAAUAUCAGGGAGUGAUCGACAAAUACCUGGAGGCAGGAUUUAUAUAUGAAGUAAAAGAUCCAAAAAUAGAAGGAUACUACAUGCCGCAUUUCGGCAUUAAAAAAGAUAGCCGCACGACCCUCCUUAGAAUCGUAUUCAAUGCCUCAUCCAAAGCUAAGAAUAAUAAAUCCUUAAAUGAAUGCCUGUUACCUGGGCCUAAUUUAGUAGAGUUGGCCUAUAAUUUGCUUCUAAAGUUUCGAAUGAAUAAAUACGCCAUGCUUGCAGACAUAAGCAAUGCAUUUCAUAGAGUACUAUAGAUCCCCGUGAUGCCAAAUAUACAAGAUUCCUGUGGCGAGAGGUAGCAGGUCGAGCGCUGACCUUCGCUUUCAGGGUCGUGGUGUUCGGCAUCACGGCUAGUCCCUUUUUGUUACAACAAGUAUUGAGUCAUCAUUUUAGUUUAGAAGGAAGACCUGAAUUAAGCAAGUCAUUUUAUGUUGAUAACUAUGUUAGUACCUUUGAAAGUCUGGAUGAGAUGAAAAAAAAACAAGAAUCUGUCCAUGCAAUUUUGGAUAGGGCCAGAAUGCCGUUAGAAGGGUGGGUAACGAACAGUAUAGCCUUCGAUAGCGAGAGAGAGUGGAAAGAACCUGUGAAUGUGAGCGUGCCUGGGCUGAGAUGGGCUCGAGACGUUGACUGUCUGUGUGUGAAAGAGAGUGAGAGGAUUCGUGAAUUGGGGGAGGGAUGGGUACCUACGAAACAUAGGGUACUAUCUUUGCUAGUGUCAAUUUACGAUCCGCUAGGUUUAGUCAGUCCUUUAUUUGUUAGGGGAAAGCUGUUUCUCCAACAACUUUGGGAACAAGAGAUUGGAUGGGAUGACGUGUUAUGUAAGGAAAAGGCUAAAGAAGCGCGAGAACUGUUAGCAGAGUUGAAAUCAGUCAGUGAUUUAGAAGAUCCUAACUCCAUAUAUUCACCGAUGCCAGUAGUAGGGCAUACGGUGCUGUAGCGUAUGUCAGAGAUAAAGAAAGUAACGUAAUAUUACUCACCAGCAAAAUGAGAAUCACUCCGAAAGGGAUGCUCAAAAUCACCAUCCCUAAAUUAGAACUUUUAGCUUUGCUGCUAGGUUUUAGGCUAGCAAAAACGAUUAAAGGGCUAAUAGAGCCACAAGAGAUUAGUAGGUAUCUGGUCAGAUAGCAAAGUUGCAUUAGCCUGGGUGGCAUCCCCGGAUGCCAAGGACAACAAAAAUAUCUUUAUAUCUAACCCUGUGGUGGAAGUUUUUUUUCUCCGCCAGAUUUGUGAUUUCAGUGUGAAGUAUGUGCCCAGCAAACAGAAUCCUGCUGAUGUCUUGUCUAGGGGCGCAACAAUCCAGCAAUUGCAGCAGAACCCUCUUUGGCGCAAGGGUCCACAGUUCUUGGGAAUCCUUUCAAAGAGGCAGAUCUAAUGAAUAUCAGAACCGUGGUAGCGGCGGUGCAGGAACUGAGGGAAGAAACAAGAAAUGCUGGACGCCGGGCCUGAGGUCUAUUGCUAAGCAAGUUGUACGGAAGUGUCCAGAGUGCGUGCUAGCCUUCCAACCGCUGAUGAGACAACCACCACCACCCCCCCCUACCGAAGGAAAGGAUCACCUUGCAGAAUCCUUUUGCCGCAGUCGGCGUGGACCACACUGCGGCCAUACAAACAGAAACUCGACCAGGCUAUAUCCUCAUCGUGGAAGUGGAGGAAUUUGUUCUAGCUUUUCGAAGAUUCAGUGCUACGCAUGGAGCCCCGACCUUAAUCACUUCUGAUAACCACCAAACGUUCAAGACGGCCAGCAACCUCCUUCAGGGACUAAAUUUAUGAAGAGGAUGAAGUCCAGCAGUUCCUGAGGAGGACUGGCGUAGAAUGGCUAUUUCAAACCCCCCGUGCACCGUGGAAAGGCGGUUUUUUCGAACGUCUGAUUGGUGUUACGAAGAGUGCCCUUCAGAUUGCCCUUGGGAGAAAGUAUCUGCCGGAGGCCCACGUAUUAACUCUAGUGAAACAGGCGGAGGCGGUAGUUAAUAAUAGGCCGUUGAUGUAUAGCGGUGACAAGUGCGAGGACGAGGUCCUCACCCCCUCUCAUUUAGUGCGAGGUCACUUAAUUAACUUAAUGGCACCUGUUUUGCCAGAUGAAGACCUUAAUGCUACCUUCACCUCCCGGAGGCUACAGGAUCGAUAUCUAAAGCUAACAGACACUUUGAAAGCCUUCCGGGAGAGGUGGAGGAAGGAGUACCUAAGUGCCCUAAGAGCCCGACACAAUUGUCAGUCUGGGGAACCCACCAAGCUGCACCCUGGAGACAUCGUGUUAGUAAAGCAAGAAAAUCAAAAGCGGGCAACGUGGCCCCUUGGACGCGUCGUGGAGACGUACCCGGACGAGACGGUGUCGUGCGUUCGGCCAAGGUAUUGUUCGAAGAUGUUGAGUCCCUGCGUGCUGUCAGCCACUUGGUCCCCCUGGAACUUGCCCCCUCAGAUGACGAUGAUGGCGUUGGAGACGAACAGCAUGACGAUGUUGAUGGUGCGACGGAGGAGAUGGUGCGUGAUGACGACAGCAACGAAGAGGUCUGAGACGAGGGAGCGUACAGCCCAGCAGUAGGUGUUCCAGGAAAUGUUGUGACGUCUGGGGACGACAAAGGGAUGGCACUGGCUGCAACAUCCGAACAACCAGCCACAAAGGUCUUGAGUGACGUAGAAGACACUGACGAUAUUGGUAACGAUUUGAGCGAUACCAAUGCGGUAAGUGAGAGUGCUGAAGUGAAUGAUACUGAGGUAUCGAGUGGUAGUGACUUUGACGUUCAGUUAGGCGGACAAAGACGUUCCGCACGCCCUUUGAGAAAGGCUGCUGCUAAGCAGCGCGAGAGAAUGAAGCGCUUAAUGGAAAGCGACUAUAUCUAAGUUAUAGCUAGAAACAGUGAAAGAAAACGGGAAGGUCCCUUAUUCUGGUAGGCAGGGAGGGUGGACCCAAGUAAGUGUAGGUGAGUUGAAUCCUCAGAGGAUGGAAGUGCGUUGGAUUAGCGUAAGGUAGUGGGAGCCCCCCUCUUGUGCAAACAAGUCUAGCGUUGUGCGGAGAUAGCCCCCACCCUCAAGGUAAAUUACCAAAAUGUAUGAGUAAUGAGUACUUCUUAUAGAGAAGUGAAAGAGUUUUGAGGGCGUGUGUCCUGUGAAAGACUAUAUACUGAAUCAGUUGUAAUCUAUGUUUCAUUAAAGGCGAAUGGCCUGUCGAUCUGAUUAUGCUUGUUGCGCGCAUUCUGGAGUUGAUGAAGCACGCCUUCAAUAAUAACUCUAGAAUGUGUGCAACAAGCUUAAUGCGUGUUGCAUGAAGAAUGUUGAAGGCAGAGUGCCUUAAGAGUGUUCCUAUUUGAAUUUGAGAAAUGCUUAUUUAGUUGAAUAUAUUGCUUUAUAGAAGCGUGAGUUGAAGGUGAAGAGCCUAAUAUAGAAGUUUCUCUUGCAUGUUGUAUUGCAUUUUGAGGCGAGUGCCUAAAGUCUAUGCUUGUUGCAUACAAAGUUGUACAUACUUGACUGUUUCCUUUUUCAUGUCAUUGAUUGAGUAAAGGCAGAUUGCCUUAUGAGAGUGUAUAUUCAUGUUUCCUUGAUUGUGAUUUUCCAUUUAUGCUUUUGAUCUUAUUGCAGGCCCAUUGCCUAUUGAGUUUCUAUGCUGAAUCAUGUCUACCUUAUGUAUAUGGGUACAUUUAUAUAUAUAUAUAUAUAUCUGCCAUUGAUAUUUUAUUUGUAUAUGUGUGACAUUCAUUACCCCGGGUGUAAUAUUGAUGUAUUUUUUUUUUGCCAUGUCAUGUUUUUUGUGUACUGUUUGUCGCUGUGGAGCGCUACGCAGCGAGCCUGACUGAUUAGUGUAGGAGUGGUUACUCCUCCCCCGAGCUCAGUCUUUCCUGAAUUGUCCAACAUUUCAACGCCCCAUACUUCGGGUGUGGAGUAUGUUGGGAAUUUCGAACUGAUCAUUCGAAAUCCCCGCCAUUUAACUUCACAAGUGUUGCGUUAAAUUGGGGCAAGACUGAGGGAACUCGCGGGCAAUUCAUUGAGCAGAAAGCUGUCCAAUAUGCGACAGAGUUAAGACGUAAUUCUUAAAUGCCUGGCGGGGAAGGAGCGCAUCUUAUAGUAAUGAAGACACUAUGAAUUUUCAUUAAUGAAUAUGAUUUGCUAUUCCCUAGUACGAGCUAAAUUGUCUAUGUAGAGAUUUGGAGCCAAGGACUCCGUAGCCAUUCAAGAAUUUGCAGAUUACGGCCUUCAGCCAGAACUUUGAGUCAAUUCAUUGAUCACAGAUGAUAAUUUAACUGUCAUUCUUCCCAUUCACAAGUAAAGUAGAUUCAUUGAUCUCUGUAAUGCCUAAAUAAGCGAUGAUUCCCGCCUGAAUUACAAGGAUUCUGUAGUUUACGCGGGAAAGCGUAAGUUUCCUUUGAAGUAGGGCGAAGCAACGCCUCAUUCCUGCCCUAGUCCUGAACGUCGUAAGUACCAUGAUGUUUUAGUGUGUGUCUCGAUUCUCCGGCUCCCGGCUCCCAGCCAUCGCCAUGCUAGGUCGAAUUCUGUCGUAACUGUAAGUUAUCUUUAUCCAUGUAUAGAUGUGUCAUCCCUGCGAUGAGGGACUUGAUUUGCGCAGCAAACGAAAGCUGCAAGUGUAAUAAAGUCGUUUAUUUGUGAUUUAGAGUAAAUGGGUCUCGAUUUAUUGUGUUUUUUCGUCCAGUAGUGGACUUAGUGCUUUUCAAGCACAUAUCAAAGACCCUAAGGACUACCACGUAACAAAGCCAUGAGAGCUUUCAGGUUCCUUGAAUUGAAUUAAUGAGAGUAGUAAGAAACUGCGUGUGCAGUGGAAUUUUGCUAGUAACUUCAAUUUCAGUGUUGGUUCUUAAUGCACAUUGGCUUAGCCGCCCGUGAUGCUCUUUCAUUCAUGUUCAGUGUAUUGUUAAUGUGUUAAAAUGUUUAUUUUUUGUAAUAAAACUAUUUUGUU
This is a long non-coding RNA of Macrobrachium nipponense, 7932 nucleotides long. RefSeq lists it as uncharacterized. NCBI's taxonomy places the organism in Eukaryota, Metazoa, Arthropoda, Malacostraca, Decapoda, Palaemonidae. The transcript is spliced from 2 exons. The record is from RefSeq and is a predicted model, not a curated record.